Molecule: ribosomal RNA, 301 nt
Filed under: uncultured bacterium
Lineage: Bacteria
Description: partial 16S ribosomal RNA
Rfam family: Bacterial small subunit ribosomal RNA
Source: RNAcentral
CAGCAGCCGCGGUAAUACGAAGGGGGCUAGCGUUGUUCGGAUUUACUGGGCGUAAAGGGUGCGUAGGCGGACUGAUAAGUCAGGGGUGAAAUCCCAAGGCUCAACCUUGGAACUGCCUUUGAUACUGUUAGUCUUGAGUUCGAGGGAGGUGAGUGGAACUGCGAGUGUAGAGGUGAAAUUCGUAGAUAUUCGCAAGAACACCAGUGGCGAAGGCGGCUCACUGGCUCAAAACUGACGCUGAGGCACGAAAGCGUGGGGAGCAAACAGGAUUAGAUACCCCAGUAGUCCCUGUCUCUUAUAA